This 750-nucleotide ribosomal RNA is filed under the name thermophilic bacterium D371a. Its description in RNAcentral is "bacterial SSU rRNA". It matches the Rfam family "Bacterial small subunit ribosomal RNA", at positions 708 to 1446 of the family's 1533-position model. Lineage: Bacteria; Bacillati; Bacillota; Bacilli; Caryophanales; Bacillaceae. The record is from RNAcentral.
AUGGCGGAGGGCGCCUUUUUCGUUUCUGUACUGACCGUGAGGGCGGAAAGCAUGGGGGAGCAAACAGAAUAGAUACCCUGUAGUCCACGCCGUAAACGAUGAGUGCUAGUGUUAGAGGGUAUCGACCCUUAGUGCGUUAGCUAUGGCAUUAGGCACUCCGCCUGCGGAGUACGCCUCGCAAGAGGUGAAACUCCAAAGGAAUUGACUGGGGGCUGCACCAAGCCGGUUGGAGGCAUGUGGUUUAAUUCGAAGCAACGCCGAAGAACCUUAACCAGGUCUUGACCAUCCCCUUGACAACCCGAGAGAAUCGGGCGUUCCCCCCUUCGGGGGGACAGGGUGACAGGUGGUGCAUGGUUGUCGUCAGCUCGUGUCGUGAGAUGUUGGGUUAAGUCCCGCAACGAGCGCAACCCUCGACCUUAGUUGCCAGCAUUCAGUUGGGCACUCUAAGGUGACUGCCGGCUAAAAGUCGGAGGAAGGUGGGGAUGACGUCAAAUCAUCAUGCCCCUUAUGACCUGGGCUACACACGUGCUACAAUGGGCGGUACAAAGGGUCGCGAACCCGCGAGGGGGAGCCAAUCCCAAAAAGCCGCUCUCAGUUCGGAUUGCAGGCUGCAACUCGCCUGCAUGAAGCCGGAAUCGCUAGUAAUCGCGGAUCAGCAUGCCGCGGUGAAUACGUUCCCGGGCCUUGUACACACCGCCCGUCACACCACGAGAGUUGCAACACCCGAAGUCGGUGAGGUAACCCUUACGG